Molecule: long non-coding RNA, 379 nt
Filed under: Heterocephalus glaber (naked mole-rat)
Lineage: Eukaryota; Metazoa; Chordata; Mammalia; Rodentia; Bathyergidae
Description: lncRNA (ENSHGLG00000035904.1)
Source: RNAcentral
GAAGAAGUGGAUAACUAAGCUCAUCCAAGCUGGAAUAACUGAAGGUGCCAGUGUGACUGCUGGGUUUGACAAUGGUGAUAUUCACAGGCAAGAAGAACUGGAAUUGUCAGCAAGCAACUAGAGAAAGGAACCUUUCAGAACCUGAAGACUCAGUGACUGCUUUUGCUAUCAGUAAUAAAGUCCAUUUUCUGUGAUCCUGGAGUCUUGUUUCCUCUGCCAGUGCCCUUGAAUCCUCCAAGAAUGCACCACCAAGUCAAUGUACAUGAGUGCCUUUGCAAUGACAUUGAGUGACACCCAGCAGUUGCAGUUGGUUCACCAACAGAAACACCAGACAGCAGGGAUGGCAGCUGGCAAAUGUCUUUGAGGAGGAUCAUGAAAA